This is a long non-coding RNA of Leopardus geoffroyi (Geoffroy's cat), 278 nucleotides long. RefSeq lists it as uncharacterized. The record is from RefSeq and is a predicted model, not a curated record. NCBI's taxonomy places the organism in Eukaryota, Metazoa, Chordata, Mammalia, Carnivora, Felidae. The transcript is spliced from 2 exons.
GCAACAUAAGAUUCAUUCUGCCUACCUUAACUUUGGGUACAAAGUUAGAUACAUGAUAAAUAUUAGUUGAAUUGAAAUAUAAGUUGCCAUUGUAAUACAUUAAAGAAUGCAGGUCUUUUAAUGUAAGUUCAAAGUCACAAUGAGGUGAUGGGACCAAUAAUUUUAAAACAUUUUCUUUUGUACAAUUGAGGCUCAGUAAGGCUUAAAAUACGCAGCCAAUCAUACUUUACUUCUUAAAUAAGAACAUAGGAGAUCUCUAUAUAAAAUGACUGAAAGGG